UACGUAGGGAGCAAGCGUUGUCCGGAAUCAUUGGGCGUAAAGGGCGCGCAGGCGGCCUGUUAAGUCAAGUGUGAAAAUCAACGGCUCAACCGUUGAACUGCGCUUGAAACUGGCGGGCUAGAGAUCAGGAGAGGAAAGUGGAAUUCCUAGUGUAGCGGUGAAAUGCGUAGAUAUUAGGAAGAACAUCGAUGGCGAAGGCAGCUUUCUGGACUGACACUGACGCUGAGGCGCGAAAGCGUGGGGAGCAAACAGG
RNAcentral lists this ribosomal RNA (253 nucleotides) under uncultured bacterium. Its description in RNAcentral is "partial 16S ribosomal RNA". It matches the Rfam family "Bacterial small subunit ribosomal RNA", at positions 524 to 776 of the family's 1533-position model. The record is from RNAcentral.